RNAcentral lists this ribosomal RNA (839 nucleotides) under uncultured eukaryote. Its description in RNAcentral is "SSU rRNA". It matches the Rfam family "Eukaryotic small subunit ribosomal RNA", at positions 635 to 1426 of the family's 1831-position model. The record is from RNAcentral.
CGGUGUUCAACUGGCGUGCCCGCGGGACGUCCUGCCGGUGAGCUCAGCCCGCGAGGGCGGCUCAACUUGAAAUCCCAUCGCGGUGCUCUUCAUUGAGUGUCGAGGUGGGCCGGCACGAUUACUUUUGAACAAAUUAGAGUGCUUAAAGCAGGCUAAAAUUUUGCCUGAAUACUGUGUAUAUGGAAUAAUGGAAUAGGACCUCGGUUCUAUUUUGUUGGUUUUCGGAACCCCGAGGUAAUGAUUAAUAGGAACGGAUGGGGGCAUUCGUAUUGCGACGUUAGAGGUGAAAUUCUUGGAUCGUCGCAAGACGGACUAAAGCGAAAGCAUUUGCCAAAAACGCUUUCAUUGAUCAAGAACGAAAGUUAGAGGUUCGAAGGCGAUCAGAUACCGCCCUAGUUCUAACCAUAAACUAUGCCAGCUAGCGAUCCGCCGACGUCCCUCUGAUGACUCGGCGGGCAGCUUCCGGGAAACCAAAGCUUUUGGGUUCCGGGGGAAGUAUGGUUGCAAAGCUGAAACUUAAAGGAAUUGACGGAAGGGCACCACCAGGAGUGGAGCCUGCGGCUUAAUUUGACUCAACACGGGAAACCUCACCAGGCCCAGACACUGGAAGGAUUGACAGAUUGAGAGCUCUUUCUUGAUUCAGUGGGUGGUGGUGCAUGGCCGUUCUUAGUCGGUGGAGCGAUUUGUCAGGUUAAUUCCGAUAACGGACGAGACUCUGACCUGAUAACUAGACGCACUUGCGGCAUCUCAAAGGUCCGCCGGCGGCUGGCUUUGCGCCCGUCGUCGCGCGCGAUUUUUACUGCCGGCGUACAAUAAAUUCUUUUUAGAGGGACAAGUGG